RNAcentral lists this long non-coding RNA (1295 nucleotides) under Oryctolagus cuniculus (rabbit). RNAcentral's name for it is "lncRNA (ENSOCUG00000037665.1)". The record is from RNAcentral. Lineage: Eukaryota; Metazoa; Chordata; Mammalia; Lagomorpha; Leporidae.
CAGGUCUUGGAGUAGUAGGAAGUAGUUCCUCUCCACCCCGCUACCUUUCGCGGUUGCGGAAGGGGUGGAGAUCGCCCACGGGGUCUGCCUUUCUGAGCGCCAGAUCAAUAUCUGGUUCCAGAACCGUCGCAUGAAGUGGAAAAAAGACCACAAGUUGCCCAACACCAAGAUCCGCUCGGGCAGCACUGCGGGUGCAGCUGAAGCGCCCCCCGGCCGGCCCCAAGCAGGCUCCCCCGCGCUUUAGUGCCCCCCGCGCGGGCGCCGCGGACUCGGGGCGGGGGCGGGCAGCGGGGGGAGCCGGGGAGGGCCCGGAGCAGCCCGCCGCCCUCCCCCCACCCCAACUUUGUAGGAAUAAACGCAGACAAGGAGGGGUAGGGAAAGCUUUAUUUAUAGAAAUGACCGAGGGCCCCCACACACCCGAAGCAAGGUUCAAGUCUCUUGCUUUCUUCCUUAAAAAAAAAAAAAAAAAAAGAAGAAGAAGAAGGGGAAAAGGAAGAAAGAAAAAGACAGAAAGAGCAAUAGGAGGAGGCUGCAGCUCCUGUUCCCAGCGUUGGCGAAGAUGGACGGGCCUCGGUGGCGACCAUUACCUCGACACCCAGCUAACAAAUGAGGCCCGGCCCGGCCGCCGCCGCUGCCGCCGCUCCUGGAAGGCUGCCUGGAUUUCCUUUCUUUGUCCCCAGCCCCGACACGCAGCGAAAGCAGCCUCUGACUGCCAGAUAGCGCGGUGUUGUGGCCACGGUAACAAACACGCACAGCCUCCCUCCCCCUCCUUGCCGCGGCUGCUCGCCCCCUUCCACCUGGGCUGCAGCGGGAGACAGAGGAAGGGGACAGGGAUUGGGGGCGGGGAGAUUGAGGCCAGGAUUUGGGGCGGGGGCGGGGGGGGGGGGCGGGAGAAAAAGGGAACCCAGGAGGGCCUUCCUCUGGAGGGCCGGGCCUGGCGGGGCACAGGGCUGCGGGCUCCAGGGGCCUUGCCUCCGUGGCUGAAAAUGAGCGUGAAACUAGGAGGCGAAUGCCCUGCCCCACCUCGCCGGUGUGCACUGCCUGGCAGAGCCCCUCCUACAGUUUGACCUUGUUGCAUCGUUUAUUUUAUUAUUAUUAUUAUUAUUAAUAUUAUUAUUAUUACUAUUAUUUUAUGCCAUACGUGUCCUCCUGUUCUCUCUCUGACAUUCCAAGCUGGGAUGUGCCCCUCAACCCCCACCUCAGGGGCUGCCUGGGUCUAGAACCUUUCGUUGGCGUGAAAAUGUGUGUCAUGUACAGAGUGACAAUAGAAAUAAAUGUUUGGUUUCUUGUGACCA